Molecule: non-coding RNA, 72 nt
Organism: Pelobates cultripes (western spadefoot toad)
Lineage: Eukaryota; Metazoa; Chordata; Amphibia; Anura; Pelobatidae
Source: the annotation of a GenBank genome assembly
UACGGUCAGUUUUGCUGGUUUGCUUCUGCUCAUUAUGCCUGCUGUGCAAAUCCAUGCAAAACUGACUGUGGC